UGGGGAAUAUUGCACAAUGGGCGCAAGCCUGAUGCAGCCAUGCCGCGUGUAUGAAGAAGGCCUUCGGGUUGUAAAGUACUUUCAGUCGGGAGGAAGGUGGUAAGGUUAAUAACCUUAUCAAUUGACGUUACCGACAGAAGAAGCACCGGCUAACUCCGUGCCAGCAGCCGCGGUAAUACGGAGGGUGCAAGCGUUAAUCGGAAUUACUGGGCGUAAAGCGCACGCAGGCGGUUGAUUGAGUCAGAUGUGAAAUCCCCGGGCUUAACCCGGGAAUUGCAUCUGCUACUGGUCAGCUAGAGUCUUGUAGAGGGGGGUAGAAUUCCAUGUGUAGCGGUGAAAUGCGUAGAGAUGUGGAGGAAUCCCGGUGGCGAAGGCGGCCCCCUGGACAAAGACUGACGCUCAGGUGCGAAAGCGUGGGGAGCAAACAGG
This 429-nucleotide ribosomal RNA is filed under the name Chloroflexota bacterium. Its description in RNAcentral is "Chloroflexi bacterium partial 16S ribosomal RNA". It matches the Rfam family "Bacterial small subunit ribosomal RNA", at positions 355 to 776 of the family's 1533-position model. The record is from RNAcentral. Lineage: Bacteria; Bacillati; Chloroflexota.